GAAUAAUUAGUGUUGUUCAACUUUAAGUAAAUAAGUGAUAGUAACUAAAGCAGUCAUAGUCUUUUUGGUAAGGUCAGACACAUUGAACCCAUUGAGAGAGAUGGUAGUAGCAUCAAUCAUAAUAAUGCACCUCUUGAAUCAUUGAAUAAAAGUCUAUACACUUACAUCACCACAUAGUAAAUUAUCAGAAGAUAUUCAAUCAUGUCGAGCUACGAACAAAGGAACCAUCAGCAAUCAAGUCACUACUCUAAAUAUUAUACUUCAAAAAAAAAUGAUCAUAGCCACACAUUGCUUGGCUAUACUACCCGAUGUGCUACCUAGAGUAGACCAAUUGUGCUAGCCCA
RNAcentral lists this long non-coding RNA (344 nucleotides) under Elaeis guineensis (African oil palm). RNAcentral's name for it is "long non-coding RNA (EGUI_LNC034787)". Lineage: Eukaryota; Viridiplantae; Streptophyta; Magnoliopsida; Arecales; Arecaceae. The record is from RNAcentral.